Non-coding RNA from Rattus norvegicus (Norway rat), 5702 nucleotides. The record is from RefSeq and is a predicted model, not a curated record. Lineage: Eukaryota; Metazoa; Chordata; Mammalia; Rodentia; Muridae.
AGGAGUGGGCGGAGUUAGGAUGGCUGCGCCACUGUUGCCGAGGCGACGCCUUGGUUACUUCCGUUGGUUUCAAUGCUUCCGGGUUGGCGCUGCGGUGGCGUUUCCUACUGUGGUAGCCUCCGCUUCCCAGUCGUCUGCUGAGCUUGAGCAGCAUCAGAAAAGUUCCGCUUUAAGCCAUGAGAUGUCUGGUCUGAACUGGAAACCUUUUGUGUAUGGCGGCCUUGCCUCUAUUGUUGCCGAGUUCGGCACUUUCCCUGUGGAUCUUACUAAAACACGGCUGCAAGUCCAAGGUCAGAGUAUCGAUGUCCGUUUCAAAGAAAUAAAAUAUAGAGGGAUGUUUCACGCCUUGUUCCGAAUCUAUAGAGAAGAAGGCAUCUUGGCCCUGUAUUCGGGAAUUGCCCCUGCUUUACUAAGACAGGCAUCAUAUGGCACCAUCAAAAUUGGUAUUUAUCAAAGCUUGAAGCGAUUAUUUGUAGAACGUUUGGAAGAUGAGACUCUCCUAAUUAAUAUGAUCUGUGGAGUAGUGUCAGGAGUGAUUUCAUCUACUAUUGCCAACCCCACUGAUGUUCUAAAGAUUCGAAUGCAGGCUCAAGGAAGCUUGUUCCAAGGGAGCAUGAUUGGCAGCUUCAUAGAUAUAUACCAGCAGGAAGGCACCAGGGGUCUGUGGAGAGGUGUGGUCCCAACUGCUCAGCGUGCUGCCAUCGUUGUGGGAGUAGAGUUGCCAGUUUAUGAUAUUACCAAGAAGCACCUGAUAGUUUCGGGAAUGCUGGGAGACACAAUUUUAACACACUUUGUUUCCAGCUUUACCUGUGGUUUGGCUGGGGCUCUGGCAUCUAACCCUGUGGAUGUGGUGAGAACUCGAAUGAUGAAUCAGAGGGCAAUAGUGGGACAUGUGGACCUCUACAAGGGUACUUUGGAUGGUAUUUUAAAGGUUUUAAUUAAGAGAUUGGAGAGAUAGCCCAGCAGUUAAGUUCCAAAGGCCUUGUAUUCGGUUCCCAGCACCCACAAGGUACUUAUAACUCCAGGGGAUCCAUCGCCUUCUUCUGGCCUUCAUAAGUACUGCGUGUACAUGGUGAGUGAUACACAUGCAGGCAAACACCUAUACACAUGAAAUAAAAUAUUUUAAUAAGAUUUACUAUAACCCAUAUCUGACAAGCUCAAAUAAGAGAGAGACUCUGUAGUAGAAAGCCCGGUACUUAAGAAACCUCAAAACCCAGUCUUUGAUUUAAGUUUCAGGUUCUCUUGAUCACAUUUUGCUUCUAGCAUUUCUGCUGGGGUUGAAUAUCCUAAAUGUAUAUAGAAGUAUUGGUUACAUUACUGCUAUAAAAACAAAUUCAGGGAUAGAAUAUGAAGGGGCCAUAUGGUUUUUCAUGCUCUUAUCAGUUUCAUUGAACAAGUAUAUAUUAUUUAUGGGACAUUAUCUUAACAGCUACAGGGAAAUUAUCACUACUCCUAAAGCACUGGCAGUUACAAACAGAUAAUCAAUAUAGCCUAAUAAGUGAUAAACUCAGAAAUCUAUGGUAGGAAAUUAUAGCCCACACUUGAGAAGUUUGACAUAAACUCUCAAGGGAUGUUCGUAAAUUGAGGAAUAAUAGCUCACAUCUGUUGUAUGCUUUAUUAUAUGACAGGAGCUGUUCUAAUGAGACUUAUGUGUAUUUAGUCAUUUAAUUCUCCCCAUUAUCCCCUGAGAUAGAUAUUGAUGCACUGAAGGAUCAGAUCACCUCCCUCAGAAUUUCAUGGUUAGCAAGUAGGAAUGCUGCAAUAAACUGAGACCUUUGGGUUAUAGACGCAUUCUUUACUAAUACACCUGACACUUUUCUCCCAUUAGUGACUGUAGGUUGGGUUAUAAGACAUAUUGAGUGUUGUACUGAGAUGGCUGGAGACAUUGAAAGCUUUAACCAGGUUCCAUUUUUAUUUUAAGCAUAUCACUUUGUCUGUGUGGAAAUAGGGUCUAAGAUAGUGGUUCUCCAUCUUGAGUACACAUUGAAAUUACUAAUCUCACAGCUCCCAUGUUUGCCAUAAAUCAGUCAACUCAGAACUGGGGUUAUCAAUAUUUUUAGAAAUUCACAUGUGGUUGUAUGUUCAUUUAAACCUGAAGACCACCAAUCUAAGUGGGGCAGUAAAUGGGUCUUCUACGUUUAACUUGCUUCAGAACUACCUGAAUUAACUUAUAUGUCAGAAAUGGGAUUUGAGAAUUUGUAUUUCCAGAAAGGUCCCAGGUAGUACUGAUGCUGAUCUGAUUGACUUAAAGAGCCACUGACCUGGAGGUAAGGUUGAUUAGAAGUCUUAUAUUACCUGAGUGCUGGAGGAUGAAGGUCCAAGCUUCAAUAUGACGGAGGCAGAGAGAAGGGACAGAAUCGAGACUAAUUCAGUUGAGUAAGUCACUACAGUUUUGUUGAGAUUAUGUAGACAGGAAGAGGAGGUGUCAAAGAUGACUUCCUGGAUUUGGAUUUGGUGACCAGAUGAUGACAUUUAGUGAUGGACACAUCAUAAGAACAGGGCUCAGCAGUUCAAAGCACACUGGGUACUCUUACAGAGGGCCUGGGUUCAGUUUUCAGCACCCAGUUUUAUGACCAUUUUCAAUUCCAGGGAAUCCCAACACUGUCUUCUGGCCUCUGUGGGUGCUAGGCUUCAGUGUGGUAUACAGACAAACAUGCAGACAAGACAUCUAUACACAUACAAAAUAAAAUGAAGAAAUUAAAGAACAGAUUUUGCAGGAGACGUGGUUUUUGAUGGUUAGUUUGAUGUGUAUGGGGAAUAGCCAGUGGUAUUCGGAGACGAUAGUUCUAACUGGGUUUGUGGUUAAAGGUGAGCAUCUGUGGGGUCAUUUGCAUACAGGGUAUAACCAACUGGAGAAGGUAGAGUAGUUCAUAGUCUCUUUCCUUCUUGAGGAUCUAAAGUUCUAUAGAAUUGUUUGUAGUAAAGUCUUGUUCCAAACGGCAUCCUGCACAGAAUCCAUGCGGCAGUCAGGGCGCUCACUACUUUUGUAAGGAAAUGUAGAGUCUUUAGGAUCCUUUGCUUUCCUCUACUCGUUAUUCUCUCCCUUUUCUGCAUUCCAGUUGUACUGAGAGUUGUCCAGCAUAGAUGUUUUUCUUCCAAGUGCCCAUCCAUAACUUACUGUCUUAGACACUCGCUGCAACACCUUAAAUGUGCCUUCUGCCUUCCGCACUCCUCUUCAUUCUCCACAUCUCCUAUCACUUCCCACAAAGAAAGGCCUUUACUGACCAUUGCACUAGGUUGCAAAUGUAGUUUCUUCUUUUCUUAUCUCCCUGAAAAGUGAUUAAUUAGUUAAUUAAUUAAUCGAAAAAGUAUCUUGCUAUGUAGCUGAGAUUGGUGUGAAACUCACAAUUUACCCCACACGGGUCCCAAAUAUAAGAUUCCCCAACCUCUGCUUUUUGAGUGUGCAAGAAGGGUUUUUAUAGUUUCUGUCAAAGUAUUACCGCCCCCACGUACUUUCUCUUUCUCAAUUUAAAACUUCCCUGAAAAUAAAUUAACAUAUUGUCAAGAUAAUGUAUUCAAAAUAGUUUGUAGAAGACAGCAUUGUAGUAAAUAACAGAUAUAUAUGACACUUACAUUUUAGGACAUUUUUAUGACCCGAAAACAACCUAUAUACCCUUUACACCACCUCUGUUUCUCCUAUCCAUUUAGUUCAAGAAAAUGCUAGCUUCCUUCCUAUUUCUAUCAAUAUGUCUGUUCUAGAUAUUUCAUAGAAGUGGAAUCAUAUUGUGUGACCUUUUUAAUUGGUUUCUUUCAAGUAAUGUGCUUUCAGUGUCCAUUCGGAGUAGUAUAUAGCAACUCUCUGCUUCUUUUUAUUGCCGAAUUGUACUGUUUUCAUUACAUUCUGUAGCUACAUCACAUUUUAUUCAUAUUUACUACAUUUUAUUGGAUUGGCUUUCACUGGUUAUCUCAGUAAAGUUUCAUGAAAAUAGAGGCAAACAUUUCCGUUUAUCACUUUUCUAGGACAAAUUAUUUAUGAAAUCCCUUUAUUGCACAGCAAUAGAUACCUUAUACAAUCCAUGCCCCUAUAGAAUGUAUGUUCUAGUGAGGUUGACAAACAAAUGCACAAAUUAAUGUAAACAGAACAGACAGAUAUUGGUAGAUAUUAACGUAUUGACAUAUAUUUUUAUAUAUUUAAUGCAGAGCCCUGUUAUCUGUCUUUAUCUGCAGAAGUUAUUUGUUUACACACAACCUGAUUCUUCAAAUAUCCUGGAGCUUUAUAAGGAUUCAGAUAAGUCUUAGAACUGUUAGAACAUCAUACUAUUUUUGUGUGUCUUUCUAUUCAACAAAUUUAUAUUCAACAAAACUUUAACAUGCCAAGAUCUAUGAGGUGGUGUGGAUAUAAAGGCGAAUACGGCAAACAUUGUUCAUUCCCUAUUGGAAGUUCUGUUGUAGUUGGAAAAGCUAGAUAAUUUUAGAAGUAAAUACUAGGAAGAAAAUAAGAGCAUGUUGAAAUGGUAACUUGGUGGUCUGAAUUCCCACAGUAGGAUGCUUAAGAAAGGCUUAUGGAUAAUUUGAAUGAUGGGAAGGAGGUAGUCAUGUGAAAAUAAUAAAGAACAGAUUAUAAAGGGCCUGAGUUGAAAUGGGUUUGACAUAUUCAAGAGUUUAAAAGGAUUAUAUGGCUGAGUGUGGUGAAUUAAUGAGAAAAUAACAGGACGUCAAUCUGCAGAGAGGGACAGGGUUUGAAUCAUGUAGGAUCCUGUGGACCAUUGCAGAAAACUUAAAAUUAGAAUGAAAGCCACCUCAGAACUUUUUAAGUACAAAUGUAAUGUGGUCUGAUUCAAAAUUGUUUAUUUUUAGAGAUGGGUCUCUCUGUUUGUCCUGGAACCCCGAUCUGUAGAACAGGCUGACUUUGAACUCACAGAGAUCUGCCUGCCUCUGAUUCCAGAGUGCUGGGGUUAAAGGUGUGUGCUUAUGCCCCCCACAACAUGGCAUGAUUUAUAAUUCUUUGAUUUUAGUUUGUAGGUGGAGAUCUUUGGUCAGUUCGGAAUUUAUUGUGGUGAUUGAAAUAAGAGGUUUGGAUCAUCUCCGAGGUCCCUCGUCAUUUAAUCCCGUAAUUUUAGGUUAUCUGCAUCUCUCCUUCAUUUUGAGUCAUUUUCAAAGUUAAAACAUGAAUUUUGGCCUGAGUCCUUCAGAAGUUACUAGAGGUAGAAGCAUAUUAUCAAUGGCUGUCUAUAAGUAACUUCACUGUUAACUAUCCCCUCCCCCAAGUGGUUAAUAAUGACACUAAUUUCUGGGCUUUUAAAUGGCGGGAUGGGAAAAAGAGUGAUAUUUGAAAAUCUGGCUUCUCAUAUCAUUAUCUUAUUAAGAUGUAUCAGUUUCUUAACAGUGGUAAAAUUCAAUUCACUAAUGGAAAGGCAGAACAACAUUUUUCAGUAUCUCACAAAACACCCAACAUAUUGUCAUUACUUAAUAGAUAUUUGUCUAUUAUAUACCAGGUAUGGCAGAAUUCAUAUGACAUCAGCUUUUGACCUUUCCUAUGUCAUCUAGUUCUUGAAACCAUUUGAUGUAUAGAGAGACCCCUCCUGUAUAAAUCAGGGCACCAAAAUGCAAAGCAGUUCGUGUUAUUCCUCCCUCAGCCCUCAAAGCAUGAAAGCCACCAUGGAGUCCCACUAAUUUUAAAGAUGUGGAAACAUGAGGGAUUUUUUGCACUCUAUAAAGGAUUUUGGCCAAACUGGCUUCGACUUGGACCCUGGAACAUCAUU